AGUAAUCCAAGGAAUAGUAACUAUAUUGAUUGGUAGGAAUCAGACUCUUGCCCUUCUAAAACAGAUUCUCUGUGUUCUGUUUGGUCUGAUGUCAUUUGGAAAACUAAGGGUUUAAGAUAGACUGCUUCCACAGGUCUUCGUCAGUCCUUAAAACCAUAUAUCCAUUUCACCAAAGGAACUAUUCCUAGCUCUCAAUAUAAUCUGAUACAGCUUACUAUUGUUAUUGCCAUAUCUGAAAACUCUUUCCUUCAUUAAGUCUUAGUUUUGGUAUAGGAGCUGACAUUUCAGGAAACGACUGAAAGAAAUUUUUGAAAUAUGCUUUAUUGCUCCUUCAACCUCUUUAUCAAUCACUCCUCCUAGACACAAUGAGAAAACCAGUCUCAGUGGUAGAAGUAGAAGACCUAAGCCAAACCAUAGGCAUUGCAACCGGAUAUAAGGAUGCAAAUGCCUGGUUAUAAUGGAUUAAAUAUUCCAUUAAAUAAAAGCUUGUGCACACGGUAGACCAGACCCCAGAUUGUUCCCUUUCCACUUGGAUGGUCUAAUCAAGUGGACAUGAAGUGCCUAACAGCACUUUUUCAUGAUUACAGAGUUUGGAAUAAACGACUGUGCCAAGUUCUUUUGCUGCUAUUUUCUGAAAUUCAUCAUCCUGCGGGUCAUCCCCUGAGGGCCACCCCGACUCCAUCUUCCAAGGCAAAAUUUGCCACGUCUCUCGUGACAGGGGCAGAACGUAGUAUUCCUUGGGAACGUAACAGGAUGCAGUGAAGUCUGGCACUUCCAAGAGCUGACUCAUCAGUCUGCCUUACUCAUCCCCAAGCAGAUGCAAUUUGGAUUCCUUGAGGUGUACCACAUAAACUUAGAGCCUAAGAUCAGACAGCUGCAGGAUUUGAGCCAAUGUUUUUCUGGUAGGGUGGCUCAUGCCUGUAAUUCCAGCACUUUGGGAGGUCGAGGUGGACAUAUCAUGAUGUCAAGAGAUCAAGACCAUCCUGGCCAGCAUGGUGAAACUCCGUCUUUAAUAAAAAUACAAAAAUUAGCUGGGUGUGGUGGUGUGCACCUGUAGUCCAGCUACUCAGGAAGCUGAGGCAGCAGAAUCACUUGACCCUGUGAGGCAGAGGUUGCGGUGAGCCGAGAUUGCACCACUUCACUCAAGCCUGGUGAGAGAGUGAGACUCUGUCUCUAAAACAAAAAAAAAGAAGAACAGAAUUCUUGUUCCUUUUAUUUUCUAGUGGGUUAUUUGUAUUUUUCCUAUUACUUUGGAGGAAUUCCACAAAUUCUUUACCUUUGAAUGUUGGUUGUUAGUGUUCCAGAUGGUUUCUCCCAGUGUGUGGCUGUCAUACUUGUGUUUUUGAUCAUGAUGAGUUAUUACUUAUAGUGUACUUUAUAUUUAUGAUGUAAAUAUAAUUAUCAUGUUUCUGCUCUCUGACCCUGAAAUCAUAUUCUCUAACAUUAUUUUUAAUAUGUUGUGAAUUAUCAUAGUUCCUUUUUUCUUUAUCUGGAAAGCCAGUUGCUCCAGAAAAUCUAGUGAAAUUUCAUCCACUCUUACCACUUUUAUCUGAAAUGUCACUGUGUCAUAAAACAAGAUUACACAUCAGAGUAGACAUGGUUUUUAGGCUAUACUUUUUGUUCUGUUAAUUAACUUUUCUUUCUUUGUGCAAAUACUUAACUCUUGAUUUUGUACUAUCAUUUUUAUUACAUUUUUCUAGUUUGAUGAGGCAAGCCCCCUAACUUUGUUUUCUUAAAUUAUCAUUUUGGCUAUUUUUAGUCUCUCAUCUUCUUAUAUAUGCAUUUUAGAAUGACAAAACAUUUCAAUCACAAUCCAUUUAAUUGAAAAUCAUUACAUGUAUAUAUUAAUGUGGAAAGACUUAAUAUGUCAGUUAUAUCAAACACACUAGUCCAUAAUCAAUUAUCUGUGAUUUCUAUAAUUCAUUUGGAUUAAUAUUUGACCUUUUCUCAAAAUGGAGUGAGAUUUAAUUUCACUAAAAAUUAAUUAUUUAAGUAUGAAUCCACUUAGUCAGCACAGGUUAACCAAGGAAAUGUGUGGGACAUUAACAAAUAAGGGAAAGGUCAAAUUUUCUACCCUCUGGUUAUAGUGGAAUAUUCUGUCUCCUCUCAAAUACUGUAUGUGGUGCAAGAAAAUUUGACAUGUGGCCAGAGUGUGCAGCUAUAAAAAUCACAAAUUUCUUAUUGGCAAUACUUGUUUAAGUUUGAAUAAAAUAAAUAUAAAUGUUCUUCCCCAGCCAUAAUUGAUCAUUUCCAACAUUUUGUUAUGUUGCAACCCAUUUUUGGACAUCUGUAGAAUACAGAGAUCUAGACAACUACCUUAGUUCUUUCACUUAAGACAUGGAACAUAUAAUCUAGUCCUGUAAAGAACUUAGAUUACUUCUUACACAUGAAAUGCACCUUCACACUAAAUGUGUCUGCUUAAAUGUCUCCAUGAUCUGGACUGUCUUCCGGUUUUCUGCUAAUAGCAAUCUAUUCUUCUUUUGUAAACACCUUCAAAUGUAAUUUUUAUUAUAUUAUCCUACUAAACUAACACAUGUGAUUUCAUAGUAGCUAUUGUUAUUCGUCAAUGUGCAUGUUUCCUUCAUUAUUCCUGUGUGUGGUAUCAGCAGUUAGAUAAUAUUAAUACUAGAUUACAAAUAUUUAACACAGUGGCAGAGAAUACGACACAGCCAUAAAAAAUGAUGAGUUCCUGUCCUUCGUAGGGACAUGGAUGAAUCUAGAAACCAUCAUUCUCAGCAAACUGACACAAAAACAGAAAAUCAAAUACUGCAUGUUCUCACUCAUAGGCAGGUGUUGAACAAUGAAAACACAUGGACACAGGGAGGGGAGCAUCACACACUGGGGUCUGUUGGAAGGGACUAGGGGAGGGAUGGGGAAGUGAGGAGGUUGGGGGUCAUAACAUGGGAGAAUUACCAGAUAUAGGUAACGAGGGGAUGGAGGCAUCAAACCACCUUGCCAUGUAUGUACCUAUGUAACAAUCCUGUAUGAUCUGCACAUGUACCCCAGAAUCUAAAGUACAAUUAAAAAAUCUAUAUAUAUUAUCUUAAAUUGAUUCUUUUCAAACUUUACAUUGGUUUGAAAUUAAAUAUUAACACUGCCAUAAUGAUUAUAUCUGUUUUGUAUGUAAGAAUCUGUAAUUAUAUAUAUAUUUAAAUUGUAUUAUAUUUACAUAUGAUAAACUUUAAAUGGCUAAUAUUCAAUGAAAUAUUAUUUAUGCAAUUUUAUUUAGCUGUAUAAUACUCUUAAGAAUUACAUAGGAGGCUGAGGAAGGAGAAUUGCCUGAACCCAGGAGGCGGAGGUUGCAGUGAGCCGAGAUCGCGCCACUGCACUCCAGCCUGGGUAAUAAGAGUGAAACUCCGUCAAAAAAAAAAGAAUUACAUGUGAUUAGUGUCUUCUUAGUGUUUCAAAUCUUUGCUCUGCCAAUUAAUCAAUGCUUAAAAUCUAUUCCAUAGUUUAAGAUAUAUUCUGUAGUUCUGAAUAGAGUAAUAAAGUAUCUAUGCUAGAAGAGAAUUUGGAGAUUAUCUUGAUUUAUAUCUUCACUGUGUAGAUAUUUUAUUUUCUAUUGGAAGCAAAUUAUUAUCUCAUAAACUGGGGAUUUAAACUUUGAGUAUGUAGAUUAUAAAUGUUCUAGGCAUAAUUUUAAAGCACAGUCAUCCUGUUAAUACGGAGUCAUCCUCUUAUAUCAUGAAUAAAAAUGGCUCAUUGUGAGAGAAUAUUCAAUCAAUUUCAAAAGGAAACAAUCUCUAUGACAAUUCUGAAAUACUGUUCAAAAGAUUGGCUUAAUUUUUAAAUUAAUAUUGUGCAUUUUGCUUUUAAGAUGUGUUAUAAGUAACUUACAGACAAUAUACUUCAGAGUUUUUAAUUGUAACCAAAAAAUUUCACUGUAAUUUUGAAUCAUCAAUUCAUUUGUACAUGUAUGCAAUUGUACA
Long non-coding RNA from Callithrix jacchus (white-tufted-ear marmoset), 3929 nucleotides. Lineage: Eukaryota; Metazoa; Chordata; Mammalia; Primates; Cebidae. The record is from Ensembl.